GUUCAUCAACUCAAGCCUUAACAUGGAGCUGAGGACCUUGAGAUAUUUCCCAGAAGGAGAACAGAAUUGCUACACCUUGAAGCCUGAGCAAGGCAGAUCAAACAACUAUCUCAUCAGAGCGGUGUUCAUGUAUGGAAACUAUGAUGGCAAAAAUCAAACUCCAGUGUUCCAAUUGUAUCUUGGGGUUAAUUCAUGGACAACGGUGAAAGACUCAUAUGUUGUACAUGAGAUCAUAUAUGCUCCCUUGACAGAUGCCAUACAAGUGUGUCUUGUGAACAAAGACAAUGGAACACCAUAUAUUUCUGCACUGGAAGUUAGGCAAUUGGACAACUCCCUCUACCAAUCAGGUAAUGGAGCACUGGCCUUGAAUUCGCGAAUCAACCUUGGUGGCUCGAAUAAGAUAAUCAGGUACGCCGAUGAUAUAUAUGAUCGCAAAUGGAAUCAUGAUCAGAAAAAUGAAUGGAUCCCAGUGACAUUGGCACCCAACUUGACAAUUGAGACCAGCAACAAUGGCUACAAAGUACCAAACAAAGUGUUAGGAACUGCUGUCAAGUGUGUCAGUGGCCCCAUAUACGUCUCAUGGCAAUCCAAGUUCACAAUUUCAAAAUUUUAUGUUUACUUUCAUUUUGCUGAAAUAGAAAAGCUUGAGGGUGGGAAACAAAGAACACUCAAUAUCCGUUUCAAUGAUUUUUAUAACUUGGAAACUCUUACUCUGGACUAUCUAAAGACACAAACUGUUGCCAGUUUUGCUCUUACUGGGGAGACAAAAUAUAACUUCUCUAUUUCUGGUGUGGACAGUGGCCUUCCUCCAAUCCUUAACGCCUAUGAAAUUUACCAGCACAAAGACUUUUAUCGCUUGCCAACAAUCGAGAAAGAAGUGGAUGCUAUCAUAAACAUUAUAAACACAUACGGCAUAAUUGGAGAGUGGCAGGGCGAUCCAUGUUUUCCUUCUUCAUGGAACAUUUUGAAUUGCAGCUCCAUCAGUCCUCCAAAUAUCAUUUCUUUGAACCUUAGUUCAAGAGAACUGACAGGAAAUAUAGCUGUUUCAUUCUCCAACCUCAGAACGAUAGAAUCUUUGGAUCUAUCACACAAUCAAUUGACAGGUCCAAUUCCAGAAUUUCUAGCUCAACUGCCAUACUUGAGAGUCCUCAAUUUAAUGGGGAACCAGCUUGAAGAUGCAGUUCCCAAGGCUCUUAUGGAAAAGCACAAUAGCGGAGGGUUAACAUUAAAUGUGGAUGGAAAUCCAGAUCUUUGUUUGGUGGGUUCAUGCAAAGGAAAAAACAGGAAGGUUGUUGCCAUUGUUGCACCAACUGUAUCAGUUGUGGUCCUCAUAAUACUAUGUGCUCUAGCAUUCUAUCGUAUCCGUGAAAAGAAAAGAAAAGGGACGAGAAGAGAAUGGUCACUGAAAGCAAAGAAUUGGAGAUUUACAUACUCUGAGAUUGUGAAUAUCACCAAUAACUUCAAAUCUGUUAUUGGAGAAGGUGGAUUUGGAAGAGUCUACCACGGCAGGCUAGCUAACACAUGGAAUUGAAGUUGCUAUCAAGGUGCUUUCUUCAUCAUCAAGACAAGGGUCCGACGAAUUUCAAAAUGAGGUGGAGCUCUUAUUGGGAAUUCAUCACAAGAACUUGGUUUCUCUUUUUGGAUACUGCAAUGAAGGUGGAAAUAUGGCACUCGUUUACGAUUAUAUGGCCUGUGGAAAUUUGCAACAGCAUCUAUUAGCAGAUAGAAGCACAAACGUUUUAACCUGGAAAGAAAGACUUGAAAUCGCAGUGGAUGCAGCACGAGGAUUGGAUUAUCUGCAUAAUUGUUGCAAGCCACCAAUCGUCCACAGAGAUCUCAAGACUUCCAACAUCUUACUAAGUGAAGACUUGCAAGCCAGGAUAGGCGAUUUUGGGCUCUGCAGAGUCUUCACAACUGACAACGAGACUCAUAUAUCAACCGAUGCUAAGGGUACUCGCGGAUACGUUGAUCCUGAAUAUUAUCAUACUGGGAAGCUGAAUAGGAAGAGUGAUGUUUAUAGCUUUGGGAUUGUUCUGUUGGAGCUGAUAACUGGCCUGCCUGCAAUAAUAAAAGGCCCUCCAGUGGUAGAGUUAUGUGAUUGGGUGGGUCCCCAUGUUCAAGGAAAGGGCAUUGGAGAUAUAGUUGAUCCAAGAUUAGAAAGCUAUAACAUAAAUUCUGCCCGGAGAGCCAUAGAAGUGGCAAUGGCUUGCAUACCAUCAAUAGCAAUCCAGAGGCCAGACAUCAGCUAUGUCUAUGAUGAGUUGAAGGCAUGUUUGAAAAUGGAGAUGGCUUCUGAGAAACCUCAGAUAAUGGAAGGCUACCAGACCUGGUCGAGCAGUUCAAUUCAUACCACUCCUUUGGACCCCAAAGUUGAAAUGCACCAUACUUGCUAGUUACACUUUAUUGUUAUUGUGCGAGUGGGCGACUGCUCUUAACAUAACUCUAUAUUGUAUAUACCUCUACUUUUAUGGCACAUAUGCAUAAUUGUCCCUAGCUCUAGCGUAUAUACACAUACCUUCUACUUUUGUUGUCACGAAUCAUGAUGUUUGGCGAGUGAGAUCUUUGGUGGAUCAGAAAAUAUAUGCCUUCCUUUCACAAUCACCAUGAACAUAAACUAAUGAUGAUCGGUGAGAAAUACAUAGAGUUUGUGGCUUUAUAUAUAUAAGUUUUUACUUUUUACAUGGAAAAGUUACCGUGGUACAUCCAGGAUAUAUAUGCACAUCUAGUACAGUAAACCAAUACAUCUUACACACCACAUUGAGGCUUGUUUAAGACCCAAGAUGCAGCCCCAA
This is an RNA transcript of Prunus persica (peach), 2792 nucleotides long. It is a transcript of the gene named senescence-induced receptor-like serine/threonine-protein kinase, with no coding region annotated. The record is from RefSeq and is a predicted model, not a curated record. The transcript is spliced from 12 exons. Lineage: Eukaryota; Viridiplantae; Streptophyta; Magnoliopsida; Rosales; Rosaceae.